CACUCUAAUGAGACUGCCGGUGACAAACCGGAGGAAGUGGGGAUGACGUCAAGUCCUCAUGGCCCUUAUGGGUAGGGCUUCACACGUCAUACAAUGGUCGGUACAGAGGGUUGCCAAGCCGCGAGGCGGAGCCAAUCCCACAAAGCCGAUCGUAGUCCGGAUUGUUCUCUGCAACUCGAGAGCAUGAAGUCGGAAUCGCUAGUAAUCGCAGGUCAGCAUACUGCGGUGAAUACGUUCCCGGGUCUU
Molecule: ribosomal RNA, 246 nt
Filed under: uncultured Thiobacillus sp.
Lineage: Bacteria; Pseudomonadati; Pseudomonadota; Betaproteobacteria; Nitrosomonadales; Thiobacillaceae
Description: partial 16S ribosomal RNA
Rfam family: Bacterial small subunit ribosomal RNA
Source: RNAcentral